UCUCUUUGUGUUUGAGGGCAGGAGGUUUAGGGGAGAAUUCAGGGUGAGUGUUUUUAGAAAAAUGAGAGGUGAAAGGGGACGAUGAUAUUUGCUGGUGGUUAAUGAAUUAUAAAGGAUAAAGAGAGACGUUGACACAGACAUGCAUCUUCUCAUCAAAUCACACAAGUCCACCAAGAAGCUCACAUAUCAAUAAUGCACAGAUAUAACACACACACACACACACAAAUGUAUUUCCACAUUAUAACCCACAUACUCUACCUAGAGAUUUACUGAUGACAUUGUGCAUCAAUUAUAUAAAUACAGUGAACUCCAUGUACAGUUUCACAUCCACCCACGUCGCAUGCACACAGCCCACACACACACACACACACACACACGCACACACACACACACACACACACAAAGGCCCCUCAAAAUAUAGCUUUACUCAUGAGCCACUGGCACAUACCAUUAAAUAAUACACCACAUAAACCAAGACAGCAUCUCACUUCUUCUCUCUCCCCCUCACACACACACACAGACACACAUGCUACUUCAUGUCAAAUUUAAUUUUUGUUUACAGCAAUCAAGUGAAGAAAGUAUGAAAAGUGUGGAGAGAGCUGUACGGAUCCAGAAUAAUGAGAGACGACCUGACACA
Long non-coding RNA from Sebastes umbrosus (honeycomb rockfish), 637 nucleotides. RefSeq lists it as uncharacterized. The transcript is spliced from 3 exons. Lineage: Eukaryota; Metazoa; Chordata; Actinopteri; Perciformes; Sebastidae. The record is from RefSeq and is a predicted model, not a curated record.